RNAcentral lists this ribosomal RNA (459 nucleotides) under uncultured bacterium. Its description in RNAcentral is "partial 16S ribosomal RNA". It matches the Rfam family "Bacterial small subunit ribosomal RNA", at positions 29 to 523 of the family's 1533-position model. The record is from RNAcentral.
AACGAACGCUGGCGGCAGGCCUAACACAUGCAAGUCGAACGUGAAGCCACCUUCGGGUGGUGGAAAGUGGCAGACGGGUGAGUAACGCGUGGGAACGUGCCUUUCGGUUCGGGAUAACCCAGGGAAACUUGGGCUAAUACCGGAUACGCCCUUCGGGGGAAAGAUUCAUUGCCGAAAGAUCGGCCCGCGUCGGAUUAGCUAGUUGGUGGGGUAAUGGCCUACCAAGGCGACGAUCCGUAGCUGGUCUGAGAGGAUGAUCAGCCACACUGGGACUGAGACACGGCCCAGACUCCUACGGGAGGAAGCAGUGGGGAAUAUUGGACAAUGGGCGCAAGCCUGAUCCAGCCAUGCCGCGUGGGUGAAGAAGGCCCUAGGGUUGUAAACCCCUUUCAGCGGGGAAGAUAAUGACGGUACCCGCAGAAGAAGCCCCGGCUAACUCCGUGCCAGCCGCCGCCGUAA